RNAcentral lists this ribosomal RNA (1500 nucleotides) under Vibrio vulnificus. Its description in RNAcentral is "partial 23S ribosomal RNA". It matches the Rfam family "Bacterial large subunit ribosomal RNA", at positions 1452 to 2925 of the family's 2925-position model. The record is from RNAcentral. Lineage: Bacteria; Pseudomonadati; Pseudomonadota; Gammaproteobacteria; Vibrionales; Vibrionaceae.
AAUUGCGAUGGGGGGACGGAGAAGGCUAGGUGGGCCUGGCGACGGUUGUCCAGGUUCAAGUGCGUAGGCUGAGUGUUUAGGUAAAUCCGGAUACUCUUAAGGCUGAGACACGACGUCGAGCUACUACGGUAGUGAAGUCAUUGAUGCCAUGCUUCCAGGAAAAGCCUCUAAGCUUCAGAUUGUAAGGAAUCGUACCCCAAACCGACACAGGUGGUCGGGUAGAGAAUACCAAGGCGCUUGAGAGAACUCGGGUGAAGGAACUAGGCAAAAUGGUACCGUAACUUCGGGAGAAGGUACGCUCUUGAUGGUGAAGUCCCUUGCGGAUGGAGCUGACGAGAGUCGCAGAUACCAGGUGGCUGCAACUGUUUAUUAAAAACACAGCACUGUGCAAAAUCGUAAGAUGACGUAUACGGUGUGACGCCUGCCCGGUGCCGGAAGGUUAAUUGAUGGGGUUAGCGUAAGCGAAGCUCUUGAUCGAAGCCCCGGUAAACGGCGGCCGUAACUAUAACGGUCCUAAGGUAGCGAAAUUCCUUGUCGGGUAAGUUCCGACCUGCACGAAUGGCGUAAUGAUGGCCACGCUGUCUCCACCCGAGACUCAGUGAAAUUGAAAUCGCUGUGAAGAUGCAGUGUACCCGCGGCUAGACGGAAAGACCCCGUGAACCUUUACUACAGCUUGGCACUGAACAUUGAACCUACAUGUGUAGGAUAGGUGGGAGGCUUUGAAGACGUGACGCCAGUUGCGUUGGAGCCGUCCUUGAAAUACCACCCUUGUAUGUUUGAUGUUCUAACGUUGGCCCCUAAUCGGGGUUGCGGACAGUGCCUGGUGGGUAGUUUGACUGGGGCGGUCUCCUCCCAAAGAGUAACGGAGGAGCACGAAGGUGGGCUAAUCACGGUUGGACAUCGUGAGGUUAGUGCAAUGGCAUAAGCCCGCUUAACUGCGAGAAUGACGGUUCGAGCAGGUGCGAAAGCAGGUCAUAGUGAUCCGGUGGUUCUGAAUGGAAGGGCCAUCGCUCAACGGAUAAAAGGUACUCCGGGGAUAACAGGCUGAUACCGCCCAAGAGUUCAUAUCGACGGCGGUGUUUGGCACCUCGAUGUCGGCUCAUCACAUCCUGGGGCUGAAGUCGGUCCCAAGGGUAUGGCUGUUCGCCAUUUAAAGUGGUACGCGAGCUGGGUUUAGAACGUCGUGAGACAGUUCGGUCCCUAUCUGCCGUGGGCGUUGGAAGAUUGAAGGGGGCUGCUCCUAGUACGAGAGGACCGGAGUGGACGAACCUCUGGUGUUCGGGUUGUGUCGCCAGACGCAUUGCCCGGUAGCUAAGUUCGGAAUCGAUAACCGCUGAAAGCAUCUAAGCGGGAAGCGAGCCCUGAGAUGAGUCUUCCCUGAUACUUUAAGUAUCCUGAAGGGUUGUUCGAGACUAGAACGUUGAUAGGCAGGGUGUGUAAGCGCUGUGAGGCGUUGAGCUAACCUGUACUAAUUGCCCGUGAGGCUUAACCAUACAACAC